UUUGUAUUUUUCCUAGAGACGGGGUUUCACCAUGUUGGCCAGGCUGGUCUCGAGUCCACUGCGUUUGAUAACAUUUCAUAAGCCUCAAACGCGAUCAUAUCUUGAGCGAUUAUGCUGACAUGUACGUCGGUUGCCUGUAGCCAGACGUGUUGGCAUGUGACUGUAAUCCCAGAUACUCGGGAGGCUGAGGCAGAAGAAUUGCUUGAACCCAGGACUCCUGACCUCGUGAUCCACCCGCCUCAACCUCCCAAAGUGUUGGGAUUACAGGUGUGAGCCACUACGCCCAGUCAAAUCUUUUUAUUUUUGGUAGAGACAGUGUUUCACCAUGUUGGCCAGGAUGGUCUCGAACUCCUGACCUCAAGUGAUCCGCCCGCUUCAGCCUCCCAAAGUGCUGGGAUUACAGGUGUGAGCCACCAUGCCUGGCAACUUUCUUUUAUCUUAAGCUCAAACUGAAACAAUAAAAUGCACAUUUUCUGCAGCAUGUACUGGGGGCCCCUGAGCUCUAGAAGGGAGAAGCUGUACAGUUCUUGUGUUGGCUAAAUGUUAUUAGCAGAGGGCCACGUCGUGGGUUCAUGUUGCCUUACCAGCAUCAGAUGAUUUUCGGCAGCUCAUAAAGUCUCUCUGUGACAUCA
This 632-nucleotide long non-coding RNA is filed under the name Homo sapiens (human). RNAcentral's name for it is "non-protein coding lnc-ZFP64-6:1". The record is from RNAcentral. Lineage: Eukaryota; Metazoa; Chordata; Mammalia; Primates; Hominidae.